RNAcentral lists this unclassified non-coding RNA (5187 nucleotides) under Dimorphilus gyrociliatus. RNAcentral describes it as "dgyrCDS182". Lineage: Eukaryota; Metazoa; Annelida; Polychaeta; Dinophilidae. The record is from RNAcentral.
UUAAUAUCUUUUUCUUUUGUUUUUAACCGAUAUAUUACCAUAGUUUCCAUUAUCUUUUAUAACCUUUUUUUAAGAAAAGUAAUUUCAAUACAAAAAGUGUUCGUAGAGUGCCAAAAUAAAAUUAAUAGGCCUAUUCCGAUCGUCACCUGAAAGUCCUACUUACUCCAGUUUUAGUAUAGAAACUGUUUUUCUUUUUAAUUUAUGCAAAUUUAAUUCAAAAGUUACUUUCAAAGUGAAGGGUAGGCUAUUGUUAAAAAUUCCAUUAAUAACGCCACCUCAUGGUAUUUAACCUAACAAUAUUUACAACCAAAAAAUUUUCGACAACGACUAUUUAUUACGCAAUAUUAUCAUAAUAUUGAACAAUAAAAAAACCAUUCCGUCAAUCAUCUUGCUGUCUUUUGUUAUCAGUGCUUCUGAGUAGAAAGAAACUAUUUAGAUUAGGCCUACAGUAGCUGAAUAUACUGAAUGGAUUCAACUACCCAAAUAAUUCGAUCAAGCUGAAAAGCAAGUUAAAUCUUGUUAAUUAGAGUAUUUUUUUUAUUUAGAUUUUUAAUAGCUUUUUUUUUGGUUCUGUUUAUUUUUUUUAAUAUUAGAAAUUCACUAUCGUAGUACUUAAAUUGUACAGUAUUACCUUACGUUUCUCCUCCUCCUCCUCCUCCUCCUUCUCCUCUGCCUUCUCUUCUCCAUUUCAUUAAACCCUUUUAAAAAUAUCUGCUCUAGGUAUUCUAAUAUCGUUUAUAGUUUAUGAAUACUUGAUAUUGAUUUGAACGACUUUUUUGUUGUUGAUGUUCUUUCCUACUACUCUUUAUUCUUCAACCAAUAUUACUUGACAUUUUUGUCCUAUUUUUCUGUAUACAUAUUCUAUACCGUUAUAGGAUUAACAUUGUAAAAAAGGAGAUAUACUAAUUUUAUAGAUUUAAUAAUUUAGACUUUAAUUAAAUACGAAAAUAAUUAUAAUUAUUUGUUUGAAUAGAGCCAGUUAUUAAACUAUUAUACUCGGUAAGGAUCUAAAAAUACAAUAGAAAUAAUACAUAGUUCGAUAAUAUCCUGAAGAAUAGUAAGGGUUUUUUUUUGAAUUUGUCAAACUGUACUAUUAUUUAUUUAUAUUAGGAUGUUGUCAGUGUUUUUUUGUGUGUGAAAUGGAAGCGUCUCUUAUUAAUUUUUGUUUGACAUAAUAAAAUUAUUAAGGAAUUAGGCAAUUUAUCUUGACAAUAAUAGUACUUAAUUGAAAUACCAAAGGACAUUUCGGGAAAUGGCUGGUAGAGGUUCUGUUUAAACUAUUGUACUGCUUUCCUGACACAUAUUUUUUUGAAUUAUAAAGAUUAAUUAAUGAAAGAAGGUUCAUAUGAAAUAUAUUUCAAAAAAAGCAUAAUUAAGUUCAACAUCAAAGUAGGCUGAACAUUUCAUCAAAGUAUGUUUGCAUCGACAAUUACCAAAGAAUAGAAUCCUGUUUGCUGUCUAGGAUAGAUAGUGCAAUUUACGUCGGUAGUCUAUAUGCUAGAAAGAGUUAUUGGAUCAUUAUCUUCCGCCAUCCUUUCUGAUAGAAAACGAAGAGAAACUACAAAGUCUUUUUAUUUAUGGAUUAAAAUUCGUUUAAACAAAUGCUUUCUCACAAUUAAGUAACAUUUUGUUUGGAUCGUAUUCUAUUAGAUGUCAUAGCUGCAGGAAACAGUUCAGUUGCGUAUAUAUUAGAGGGGAUUUGUUUUUUAGUUUAUCCAGAACAACUACUCAUUUUAAUCCAUGUCUUAUCUUUUGAAAUAAAAUAUUUCUUAUUUGCAUUACAGUUUUGUAAGAUAAUCCGUAGGGAUUAUAAGGCAGCUGCUGGUCGUAUCUGGAGGAUGUUAUAUGUCUUCGGUCAUGCUAUACUUCUAGGUAUUGCUUUUUUUCUACGGGAUCUCUUCAGAUUACAAUUAGAUACUGCUACUCCAUCAAUUAUCCAACAACGUUCAUAGGAUAUUCGUCUCGAAAUGAUUAAUCAAUGCUUGAAAAGUAUAACAGAAGACUCCUCGCUUUGAUUGAUCAGUCAAGGUAGAAGAUUCGAAGCCCACAGGGUACCAAGAAAAAUGGCCUCUAUCAACAAUACAACAUUGUCCAAGGGCAUUAAAUUUGAUGAGACUAGUUGUGAUCACUUAAAGGGCGUUAGAAGAGAAUCGUCCUAGAUUUAUACUUAUCACAGCCACUAAGGGAGGAGAAAAUCAUUUAAACUUUUAUUUGGUUGAGAUUAUCCGCAAAUAUCCUUCGUUACUUUUAUUAGUUUUCUUUUAAAUUGAAUAUAUCGCCAAAGGUUUAGCUGCUGUUUAAUAUAUUUUGGGUUGUUGGUUUGUUAAGUGGAAAUAUUAUCUCUCUACAGUUCUAUCAGAAACUGUUGAAGUACUCUAGCUGAUCAUGGAUAAAUAGGAGAGAAGGACAAUACAUCCUUUCUUCAGUUAUGGUUAAUCACUAACUCGUAGGAAUAUAUUUAAUUGGACGAAUGGGAAGACGUCUAAGUAUAUCCGCUUCUCCGAUCGCAGCUGGAUUUGCUGAAAUCUCUUUGAUUUUCUUUGUUUAUCUUCAAUGGUAAUAUUCAAUUUAUAUGGACUCAUGCAUAUUUACUUGUAUUUAUCAGGAAUUUUCUGCAUUGGUAUAGCAACUAUCAGGACUAUUUUUGAAUGGGAUACAUAAUAACUCUUACCUAUUUACAUUGUGUACUUUUGCCCGGUAGAAGUCGGCGAGUAAACGUCUAUAAAUUUAAGGAAUGAUUAGAUUAAUUACACGAGUACGUCUUCCUCUGGAGUAAUGCCUGGAAGCUUUUUACCCACAACGAUAUUUGGAGUAUACGCUACGAGAAAGUGAAAUUUUAUCCCUUCUACAAGCGGAAACCUUACACGCAAAAACCCUACGAGAUAAGCUGGAUAUUAAAAAGUGAGUUUUAUAUAUUCCUUCUCUUAAGUCUUUUCUUAUCAUCCGUCACUCUAAUAUGUCCAGAAAAAGUUGGCUUAUUACAAAAGAAAGUGAAGAGGCAAUGGAAAAGGCGAAGAAAGAAAAAGGCGAAAAAUCAAUAAGACUCGAGAAUAGUAGAAUUUUUUUUCUGUUUGUUAGAAAAAAAGUGGUACAAACCGAUUAAGAAACGUUACGAAUUAUCAUUUGAAAUUGUAUCAAUACAUUCUAUUUAGAAAUGAAUGACUUAAAUUUUAUCUAAUAGGAUUUAAAUAAGAAAAGGUUAUGCGUGGCUUAAAAACGUUUAUAGAGGAGCUUAGAUCUUGUAGGAAUGAAGAUGAGGAAAGGAUCAGAAUCUCAAAAGAGCUUGCGAAUAUUCGAAAAAAAUUUUUAAAACGCAAUAAAUCUUUGUACGAUAAACGAAAAUAUGUUUGUAAACUGGUUUAUAUUUUCCUUAAGGGUGAAAAAGUAGAUUUUGGACAAAUGGAAGCCUUAAGCCUAAUAUCGUCCACGAACUAUUCUGAUAAGAGAAUUGGUUAUUUGUUUUUAAGCACUUUUCCAAGUAGGGAAGAUUAUUUACUGCUGGCUGUUGAAUGUAUAAAAAGAGAUCUACAUAGUAAUCGUCCAGCAAUUCAAAAAUUGGCUCUAGCUUGUCUAUGUAAUAUAGGUGGACCAGAGAUGGCUGAUUUGUUUACAAAUCAGUUAGUAUCUGUCAUGAAGAACGAGGGAAAUUGUGAUUCAGUAAGACAAUCCUCUAUCCUAGGUUUGAUAAGUUUCCUUAGGGAGGGAAACAACUAUCCAGUAAUUUUAGAAAAAGAAAUACCUUACUUAUUUAUGAUUAUUGAUAAUGAUAACCUAGGAUUGGUUCAAUCUUCAGUUACACUACUCAUAUAUUUAACUAACGACAAAAAUCAAUUACAAACAAUUUCAUCAUUUCAGUAUUUAAUUAUAUCAAAAUUAGAUAAAUUAAUGAAAACUAAUAAUAAUUUCAAUCAAUAUAUGUACGGAGGUUUUUGCGCUCCAUGGUUAAUAGUUCAACUAUUCAAUUUAUUGAAUAGAAUUCAAUUAAGAGAAAAUAUUACGAAUCUUAUUGAGUAUGCAAUUGAAAAAUCUAUAGAAACGAAACCCAACGUUACGUUUAUUGAAACUAAUAUUAAAAUAUCUAUUUUCCAAGAGGCUGUUAAGGUUGAUAUAAUUUGUUCCUUUCCUGGAGAUUUUUUUAGAUGGGAUGUAAUUUGGAAAAUGAUAUUAUUUCUGCCUCGUAUUAGUCAAUUUAGCUUGAGACAAGAGCUUGUUAAUAAGAUACUGUUUGUAAUCGAUGGCGGAGAGAAAGAUGUAGAACAAUACGCCCCUGCUCUUAUGAAUCUAAUUUCGAUUGCUGGUGACGUCAUUAGCAGCUCUUGUUGGUUUAAAUUAGUAAAAUUAAUUCGGGAAAAGCCAUUUUUUCAGAAAAAGGUAGCUGCAGUCGCUUUUAACCUGCUAAAUAGGAAAUCGAACCCCAGCAGCGUACUAUUGAGAAUGUGCUCUUUUAUAAUUGGGGAAUAUGGCUACUUGAUAGCUAGUGGUCGGGAACAAAUUGACUGUCUCAGGAAUAGAUUUUAUCAAUCCGACGAAGAGACUAAGUCUAUUAUGCUGUCAGCAUUUGUCAAGAUUGCCCAACUUCAUACUAAUAUCAAAGUUGAAGUUCUAAAUAUUUUAAAUGAUGAAAUGUUAAUUAAAAAUCUUAAUACGGAAGUUCAACAGAGAGCUGUUGAGUACUAUCAGUUAAUUGCCUCCUUUCCCUCUAACUUUACAGAGAACAUUCUCCUUGAGAGGGCCAGUUCGAACUUGAUCUAUAAACCGGAAGAAUCUUUUCGACAAGUACUUAAAGUUGCAGAUAUAAGUAAAAGGUUGAAAAAGACAGAUUUUGUUCUGGAUGCCAUAAGGGAUCCAACAGUUAAGAGCAUUGAUGACUUGUACGAUAAGAGAUGGUCUGAUUUUUACCAUACAGAAAGAAUCUUAACAAUAACUACAGAUUCAUUAUCCACACUUAAAGAAAAGUUGGAUCAUCAUUGGGAAUCAUGGGUAAAACAUUCAACAGAACAUACAAUUAGAGCAGCUAGCUUAUUCGAAAAUAUUCCCAAAAAAACAACUAGUGGUUGUUUAAUAGAGUGUGAAAAAACUGCUAAGAGGACGGAUGGUAGAUGUAUAUGGAGUAUUAAGAUUCGUUGUGGUACAAUUGAAGUGUCAGAAACUGUUUCCAUAUUUAUUAACACAUUAUUUUCAAUCUAA